RNAcentral lists this transfer RNA (59 nucleotides) under Loxodonta africana (African savanna elephant). It matches the Rfam family "tRNA", at positions 14 to 71 of the family's 71-position model. From Rfam's summary of the family: Transfer RNA (tRNA) molecules are approximately 80 nucleotides in length. Their secondary structure includes four short double-helical elements and three loops (D, anti-codon, and T loops). Further hydrogen bonds mediate the characteristic L-shaped molecular structure. tRNAs have two regions of fundamental functional importance: the anti-codon, which is responsible for specific mRNA codon recognition, and the 3' end, to which the tRNAs corresponding amino acid is attached (by aminoacyl-tRNA synthetases). tRNAs cope with the degeneracy of the genetic code in two manners: having more than one tRNA (with a specific anti-codon) for a particular amino acid; and 'wobble' base-pairing, i.e. permitting non-standard base-pairing at the 3rd anti-codon position. The record is from Rfam by way of RNAcentral. Lineage: Eukaryota; Metazoa; Chordata; Mammalia; Proboscidea; Elephantidae.
AGUGGUUGAGCAUUUGGCUGCUAACCAAAAGGCCAGUGGUUUGAAUCCACCAGCCGCUU